RNAcentral lists this ribosomal RNA (253 nucleotides) under uncultured bacterium. Its description in RNAcentral is "partial 16S ribosomal RNA". It matches the Rfam family "Bacterial small subunit ribosomal RNA", at positions 524 to 776 of the family's 1533-position model. The record is from RNAcentral.
UACGUAGGGUCCGAGCGUUGUCCGGAAUUAUUGGGCGUAAAGAGCUCGUAGGCGGUUUGUCGCGUCUGCUGUGAAAUCCCGAGGCUCAACCUCGGGCCUGCAGUGGGUACGGGCAGACUGGAGUGCGGUAGGGGAGAAUGGAAUUCCUGGUGUAGCGGUGGAAUGCGCAGAUAUCAGGAGGAACACCAAUGGCGAAGGCAGCUCACUGGGACGGUAUUGACGCUGAGACGCGAAAGCGUGGGGAGCAAACAGG